This 527-nucleotide long non-coding RNA is filed under the name Homo sapiens (human). RNAcentral describes it as "ZNFX1 antisense RNA 1". The stretch from base 164 to 250 matches the Rfam family "ZNFX1 antisense RNA 1 conserved region 3". Lineage: Eukaryota; Metazoa; Chordata; Mammalia; Primates; Hominidae. The record is from RNAcentral.
GGCAUAUAUGAUGACUUAGCUUUUUUCCCCGACAGAUCGACUAUGUUGAUCUAACUUUUCUAAGCCAGUUUCUGUCUGAUAUGCCAGCUUGAGCAGCUCCUUUGUCCCAGCUCCCCUGGGCAUCUAGCUGAUGGGAGCUCAUUUUUCUGUUUUUUCAUUUCAGGUUUAUUGUUGGCCAAAACCAGGCUUUGAUUGAACCAGGAUGAAUGCGGGUGUUGGAAGUAGAAUAUAUAUAUACAUAUAAAAUUGGUUGGGAGCCACGUGUACCAGUGUGUGUUGAUCUUGGCUUGAUUCAGUCUGCCUUGUAACAGAAACUGGCGAUGGAAUAUGAGAGGAGCCCUCUGGAAAGAAAAGGACAGACCCUGUGCUUUCAUGAAAGUGAAGAUCUGGCUGAACCAGUUCCACAAGGUUACUGUAUACAUAGCCUGAGUUUAAAAGGCUGUGCCCACUUCAAGAAUGUCAUUGUUAGACUUUGAAAUUUCUAACUGCCUACCUGCAUAAAGAAAAUAAAAUCUUUUAAAUCAAAA